This is a non-coding RNA of Erinaceus europaeus (western European hedgehog), 181 nucleotides long. Lineage: Eukaryota; Metazoa; Chordata; Mammalia; Eulipotyphla; Erinaceidae. The record is from Rfam.
UUGCUUGGACGCAGCGCAGCGGCGCGGAACCCCAGUGUAUCCCGAGACACAGCGCUGUGCUCUCACAGCAGCAGUUACCUUCUGCUUUCGUAGGUUUUGAAUCGUUCCACAGGUGUCCACAAGCCUUCCCAAGGCCCGCAGCCCCAAAAUCGAGCCUCAAGAUCCAAGACACAGGCGGGAG